Molecule: ribosomal RNA, 174 nt
Filed under: Scinax ictericus
Lineage: Eukaryota; Metazoa; Chordata; Amphibia; Anura; Hylidae
Description: partial 16S large subunit ribosomal RNA
Source: RNAcentral
ACGUGAUCUGAGUUCAGACCGGAGUAAUCCAGGUCGGUUUCUAUCUAUAAUUAAGCUUAUUCUAGUACGAAAGGACCGAAAAAGCAUGGCCUAUACCCGAAGCAAGCCAUCGUUAGCAAUUUAUGAACACAACUCAAUUAAUUACUAACUUACAACCUCCCUCAAAAUCAGAGA